AAGAUUUGAACGGGAAAGUAAUUGUUCUCUGUUUUCACCGUGCCGUGAUGUGCUGAUUUAAGAACUGAGAUUUUUCACCCAAACAGAUCUUUAUUGCAUAUAUUCAUCUUCCAACAGAUACACAUUUAUUUUAAAUUUCCAAACACCAUACUGUUAAGCUAAGUUAAUUAUACUCUGUCGCGAAUUUAUUUUUCGUCUAAACUACUGUGAACUCAUAAGAUUUUGCAGCAAGCCAAAGUUAACCAAGUUCCAUUGAAAUGGUGAAGUCUGCAUAUCAUCUCACCUACGCAUUGAAACGCUCAACGAGGUAUAACGUAGUUCCUUCCACAACUCCAACAGCAAACAAUUGAGCAUCAUCAGGAAGAUAAGCAUUCCCCAUUCGGAGUACCUUAUUUUCGAUGACAACGUCGUGUUCUGCAUGAAGUUUUGCCUUCAACUGAUCUAUGGUAGUACUAUCGUGGAUGACAUAUUCAUA
Molecule: long non-coding RNA, 475 nt
Filed under: Prunus persica (peach)
Lineage: Eukaryota; Viridiplantae; Streptophyta; Magnoliopsida; Rosales; Rosaceae
Description: long non-coding RNA (PPER_LNC008609)
Source: RNAcentral